GUGUCUUUCGCCUCAUUUUUUCGUAAAAUCCAAUCACAAAGUUCGUGCGAUAAAAAGUUGGAAAAAAAACAUUACAAUAAUUGCCGGACCAAUGUAUGGUAGGGACAUGCAAAUACGGACUGUCAUACAGAAAACAGCCUAUAUUACAUACAUUACAUAACCUUGAUGUUCAUAUAAACCCAAUACAAAGGCUAUUUUAAUACUCAGCUAUCCAAAAAUGAAUUUUAUUGCACACUAGCUCUCAUAUUUGAAAAAUCCACAGGGGCCAAAAUGCGAAACUACACACCUAACUGUGGAGUGCUACCUUA
This 308-nucleotide long non-coding RNA is filed under the name Mytilus galloprovincialis (Mediterranean mussel). The record is from RNAcentral. Lineage: Eukaryota; Metazoa; Mollusca; Bivalvia; Mytilida; Mytilidae.